CCUACGGGGGGCAGCAGUGGGGAAUAUUGCACAAUGGGGGAAACCCUGAUGCAGCAACGCCGCGUGGAGGAUGACGCAUUUCGGUGUGUAAACUCCUUUUAUAUAGGAAGAUAAUGACGGUACUAUAUGAAUAAGCACCGGCUAACUCCGUGCCAGCAGCCGCGGU
This 166-nucleotide ribosomal RNA is filed under the name uncultured bacterium. RNAcentral's name for it is "partial 16S ribosomal RNA". It matches the Rfam family "Bacterial small subunit ribosomal RNA", at positions 338 to 521 of the family's 1533-position model. The record is from RNAcentral.